RNAcentral lists this transfer RNA (73 nucleotides) under Candidatus Staskawiczbacteria bacterium. RNAcentral's name for it is "tRNA-Ile". It matches the Rfam family "tRNA". From Rfam's summary of the family: Transfer RNA (tRNA) molecules are approximately 80 nucleotides in length. Their secondary structure includes four short double-helical elements and three loops (D, anti-codon, and T loops). Further hydrogen bonds mediate the characteristic L-shaped molecular structure. tRNAs have two regions of fundamental functional importance: the anti-codon, which is responsible for specific mRNA codon recognition, and the 3' end, to which the tRNAs corresponding amino acid is attached (by aminoacyl-tRNA synthetases). tRNAs cope with the degeneracy of the genetic code in two manners: having more than one tRNA (with a specific anti-codon) for a particular amino acid; and 'wobble' base-pairing, i.e. permitting non-standard base-pairing at the 3rd anti-codon position. The record is from RNAcentral. Lineage: Bacteria; Candidatus Staskawicziibacteriota.
GGGCGCGUAGCUCAGUCGGUAGAGCGCUUAGCUUAUACCUAAGUGGUCCCAGGUUCGAGUCCUGGCGCGCCCA